GCGCGAGUGCUGGAACUGGCAGACAGGCACGUUUGAGGUGCGUGUGCCUAUGGCGUACGGGUUCAAGUCCCGUCUCGCGCACCA
This 84-nucleotide transfer RNA is filed under the name Acutalibacter sp. RNAcentral's name for it is "tRNA-Leu". It matches the Rfam family "tRNA". From Rfam's summary of the family: Transfer RNA (tRNA) molecules are approximately 80 nucleotides in length. RNAcentral also lists the same sequence under 1 other name. Lineage: Bacteria; Bacillati; Bacillota; Clostridia; Eubacteriales; Acutalibacteraceae. The record is from RNAcentral.